UUUUAUCUUCCAUCUCUAUUUUGCCAAUUUGUUUAUGCAACAUAAAAUAAUAUAUAUCUUUUGUUCAAUCCAUGUCAAUAUCUAUUUUAUUUUUUACAUUAUUUGAAUAAAACAUUCAAAAACAUAAACAUUAAAAAAAUAUAAAAAAUAAAUUUAAGGUUUAAAUUACAAAAUAAAAA
RNAcentral lists this unclassified non-coding RNA (179 nucleotides) under Borreliella valaisiana. RNAcentral describes it as "partial 5S-23S ribosomal RNA intergenic spacer". The record is from RNAcentral. Lineage: Bacteria; Pseudomonadati; Spirochaetota; Spirochaetia; Spirochaetales; Borreliaceae.